CCUACGGGAGGCAGCAGUAGGGAAUAUUGCACAAUGGGGGAAACCCUGAAGCAGCAACGCCGCGUGAGCGAUGUAGGCCUUCGAGUCGUAAAGCUCUGUCCUAAGGGAAGAAUACUGACGGUACCUAAGGAGGAAGCCACGGCCAACUACGUGCCAGCAGGCGAGGUAAGACGUAGGGAGCUAGCGGUAUCCGGAAUUACUGGGCGUUAAGGGUGCGGAGGCGGCCCUGCAAGUCAGAGGUGAAGCGCUAGGGCUCAACCGUAGUAACACUUUUAAACUGUAGGGCUUGAAUGCAGGAGAGGGGAGUUUAAUCCCCAGUGUAGCAGUGAAGUGCGUAGAUAUUGGGAGGGACGCCAGAUGAGAAGACGGCUCUCUGGAGUGUAACUGACGCUGUGGCACGAAUGCGUGGGGAGCGAACAGGUUUAUAUACCUCUGUAGUC
This 440-nucleotide ribosomal RNA is filed under the name uncultured bacterium. RNAcentral's name for it is "partial 16S ribosomal RNA". It matches the Rfam family "Bacterial small subunit ribosomal RNA", at positions 338 to 795 of the family's 1533-position model. The record is from RNAcentral.